UCYGGUUGAUCCUGCCRGACCCGACUGCUAUCAGAGUGAGAUUAAGCCAUGCGAGUCAACGUAGCAAUACGUGGCACACGGCUCAGUAACACGUAGUCAACAUAACCAAAGGACGUGGAUAAACUCGGGAAACUGAGGCUAAACCGCGAUAGACCAAGAUACCUGGAAUGGUUUUUGAUUAAAAUCUAUAUGGCCUUUGGAUUGGACUGCGACCGAUCAGGCUGUUGGUGAGGUAAUGGCCCACCAAACCUGUAACCGGUACGGGCUCUGAGAGGAGGAGCCCGGAGAUGGGUACUGAGACAAGGACCCAGGCCCUAUGGGGCGCAGCAGGCGCGAAACCUCUGCAAUAGGCGAAAGCCUGACAGGGUUACUCUGAGUGACUUUCGCUAAGAAAGUCUUUUGACACCUCUAAAAAUGGUGUAGAAUAAGGGGUGGGCAAGUCUGGUGUCAGCCGCCGCGGUAAUACCAGCACCCCGAGUGGUCGGGACGAUUAUUGGGCCUAAAGCAUCCGUAGCCGGUUUUACAAGUCCUCCGUUAAAUCCAACUGCUUAACAGAUGGGCCGCGGAGGAUACUAUAAGACUAGGAGGCAGGAGAGGCAAGCGGUACUCAGUGGGUAGGGGUAAAAUCCGUUGAUCCAUUGAAGACCACCAGUGGCGAAGGCGGCUUGCCAGAAUGCGCUCGACGGUGAGGGAUGAAAGCUGGGGGAGCAAACCGGAUUAGAUACCCGGGUAGUCCCAGCUGUAAACGAUGCAGACUCGGUGAUGGACUAGCUUCAUGCUAGUCCAGUGCCGCAGGGAAGCCGUUAAGUCUGCCGCCUGGGUAGUACGGUCGCAAGACUGAAGCUUAAAGGAAUUGGCGGGGGAGCACCACAAGGGGUGAAGCCUGCGGUUCAAUUGGABUCAACGCCGGR
Molecule: ribosomal RNA, 911 nt
Filed under: uncultured archaeon
Lineage: Archaea
Description: bacterial SSU rRNA
Rfam family: Archaeal small subunit ribosomal RNA
Source: RNAcentral